Molecule: long non-coding RNA, 6401 nt
Organism: Corythoichthys intestinalis (scribbled pipefish)
Lineage: Eukaryota; Metazoa; Chordata; Actinopteri; Syngnathiformes; Syngnathidae
Exons: 4
Source: RefSeq, a predicted model, not a curated record
CAGUUUUAACCAGGAGGGUUUCUGGCCAGUCCUCCCGGUCAAAUGGAUCGGACUACUUUUGCCGUCAAUGGCAGAUUUUACAAAAGCUUUGUAGGGAUUUUUUACUGUUGAGUGUAUAUUUAACCAAUUAACAAGUGUUAGUAUCCAGAGUAUAUACAUAAAUUGUAAAAUACAAUGUAUAUAUUGCAUGAAUAUGGCAAAAUAUAACUGGAUUCAUUUGUAGUUCCAGGAGUGUUGGCGCAAGAGCCUCGAGCAGAUUAAGCACGUCCAAGCCGCCAGCCUCAAGUAGAAGCAAGCGUCACCGCGUCGGUCUCCAACGAUGUCGAGGAUGUCACUGCAGCAAUCCAGGAUAUGUCGAGCUUGUAGUUUGAUCAACGUGUAUCAAUUGGUAACUGAAAUCUGUUCUUUGGAUAGGACAGGUGAUAUUUGGAGAUGAAGAUCAGCAGUGACCUUGCAACGUGGAUAUUCUCUGCAGUCGACCUGAGUGUCAUCAGAUGGAGACCAGAAGUCACCGAGAGCACAGCCUGAUUGUAAUUGAUGCCAUUUGUCAAAGAUGAGUAUUUAAAAGCCCUACUUUAUUUUAAAAAAAAAAAAAAAAAUGUAAAAAUGUCUUUCCAAUUGUGGUAUAAAAAAUAGAACUGCUGAAGAUGCUUUUAAAGCAUUUGAUUAACGAUGGAGGACCAGUAGUGCAGUGUUAAUAAAUAAAAGUAAAAUAAAUCAGUUUCAUGUUAGAAUACUUUAUAUUUAAGUAUAGUCAAAUCUUAGAAUGGUUGCCCUUGUUUUCAUCUUCCCCAAAAAUGAUUUAGUAAAUAUUUUUAAAUGUUUUUUGUUUGUUUGUUUCCCAGGGGGGAAAAACAGUCGAUUUUUAGGAGGCAAUAGUUCAACUUUUGUCAUUAUUUCAAUUUAUUCAUUGUCUCGAUCAAUGGUGCCGCAAUGAAACAAAAGUGAGUGGGAUUACGUGUUAAUUGCAUUAAAAAAUUCAAAAGUUAUAUAGUGAACAGUCCCGUUUCAGUGCCAUUGACAGCGACAGACUUCCGAUCCAUUUCAACCAGGAGGGGUCUGGCCAGUCCUCCUGGUUAAAUGAAUAGGAUGUCUUCUGUCAAUGGCAGAUUUUACAAAAUAAUUAGGACUUUUGACAAUACAAAAUGUAUGUUUAACCAAUUAAGUGUUAGUAUCCUGAGUAUGUACAUAAGUUGUAAAAUACAAUGUAUGUAUUGCAUGAAUAUGGCAAAAUAUAACCAAUUCAUCUGUGGUUCCAGGAGUGUUGGCUCAAGAACAGAUUUGAGUACAUCCAAUGCCGCCAGCCUCAAGUAGAAGCGAACGUCACUGCGACGGGUGAUAUUUGAGAUGAAGAUCGGCAGCGACCUUGCAAAGUGGAUAUUCUCUGGAGUUGACCUGUGUCAUCAGAUGUUGGGAGACCAGAAGUCACCAAGAGCACAGCCUGAUUGUAAUUGUUGCCAUUUGUCAAAGAUGAGUAUUCAAAAUCCCGAAUUUAUUUUUAAAAAAAAAAGUAAAAAUUAGUCUUUCCAUAUGUGGUAUAAAAAAUAGAACUGCUGAAGAUGCUUUUAAAGCCUUUAACUAUGGAGGACCAGUAGUGGAGUGUUAAAUAAAUGGUGUUAUACUUAUAUAGCGCUUUUCCACCUUUCAAGGCCCUUAAAGCACUUUACACUCUCGCCAUCCACCUACUGGUAUAAAAGUGAAAUAAAUAUCAGGUUCAUGUUAGAAUAUUUUAUUUCAGUAUGGUCAAAUCUUAAAAUGGUUGCCCUUGUCUUCAUCUUCCCCCAAAAUGAUUUUGUAAAUAUUUUAAAAUGUGUUUUUUGUUUCCCAGGGGUGAAAAAACAGGCGAUUUUUAGGGGGCAAUAUUUCAACUUUUGUCUUUAUUUCAACUUAUUCAUUGUCUCUAUCAAUGGUGCCGCAAUGAAAGAAAAGUGAGUGCGGGAUUACGUGUUAAUUGCAUUUAAAAAAUUCAAAAUUUAUAUAGUGAAACGGUCCUGUUUGAGUGCCAUUGACGGCGACACUUCCGAUCCAUUUUAACCAGGAGGGGGCUGGCCAGUCCUCUUGGUAAAAUGAAUAGGAUGUCUUCUGUCAACGUCAGAUUUUGCAAAAUAAUUAUAAUAACUUGUAUGUUUAACCAAUUAAGUGUUAGUAUCCUGAGUGUGUACAUAAGUUGUAAAAUACAAUGUAUGUAUUGCAUGGAUAUGGCAAAAUAUAACCAAUUCAUCUGUGGUUCCAGGAGUGUUGGCUCAAGAACAGAUUGAGUACGUCCAAUGCCGCCAGCCUAAAGCAGGACAAGAGGGCGUCUCUCAAAUGAGUGCAACGACAUUGCAGUAAUCCAGGGAAUGUUACCUUUUCAGUUGUCAUUUAAAAGGCGGCGGGGGAGCACAAAGCUAAUAAAAAGUACUGUUGCAACUGUUUAAAUCUAUGCAUUAAAGUAGCCAGUUUUCUUUUAAAAAUUCCAUUUAAAAAAUGCAAAACGAUGUUUAUAGUGAACGAUCCAGUUUCAGUGCCAUUGACAGAUGGCAGUCUGAUCCAAUUUAACUGGGAGGGGUCUGGCCAGCCCUCCCAGUCAAAUGGAUUGGCACUUUGGCCAUCAGCGGUAUUUUUUACAAAAGCUUAAAAUAAGUAGGACUUUUGAUGGUAGUGUAUAUUUUACCAAUUAAGUGUUACUAAGACAUAAUGUAUUUUUACAGGAUUGUUGGCCCAAGAGGAGAUUGAACAUGUCCGAGCUGUCAGCCUCAAGCAAGAGAAGUGAGCGUCUCUCCAGUGACGCCAAGUGCGACAACACUGCAGCAAUCCAGGGAAUGUAAAGCUUUCAGUUGUCAUGUUAAAAUUUCUCAGCUAAUGAAAUGUAAUAGCAUUACUACAACUGCUUAAUCUAUGCAUUAAAUUAGCAGCUUUUGUUUUCCUACAAUUGGUUGGGGUAAAACAAUCACGUGUUAAUUAAAUUUAAAAAAUAGAAAAUUUCCGUGCCAUUGACUACAACAGACUUCCGAUCCAUUUUGACCAGGAGGGGGCUGGCCAGUCCUCUUGGUAAAAUGGAUCGCGCAACUUUUGCCGUCAAUUGCAGAUUUUACAAAAGAUGUUACUGAUUAGGACUUUUAUACUUUUGACACGGAACAAAAUGUAUAUUUAACUAAUAAGUGUUAGUAUCCUGUGUAUAUAAGGUGUAAAAUACAAUGCAUAUAUUGCAUGAAUAUAGCAAAAUGUAACUAGUUUCAUAUGUGGUUCCAGGAAUGUUGGGUCAAAAGCAGAUUGAGCUCAUCCAUGCCGCGCCAGCCUCAAGCAGGAGAAUCGAGCGUCGGUCUCCAAUGACGCAAAGCACGACGACACAGCAGCAAUCAGGCAAUGUUUAGCUUUCAGUUGUCAUUUGAAGAGAUAAUCACUUAGCUAAUGAAAUGCACUAGUACUGUAAAUGCUUAAUAAGGCUCAAUCUUUACAUUAAAUUACCCAGAUUGUUUUCCUAUAUAAAUUGUGUUAAUUCCAUUAAAAAUGCAAAACGAUGUCUGAAGUGAAUGAUAUUUUAAAUGCCAUUGACAAAAAUAGAAGUCUGCUCCAAUUUAACCGGGAGGGGUCUGGCCAGCCCUCUCAGUCAAAUGGAUCGGACUUCUUUUGCCGUCAGUGGGAGACUUUUUACAAAAGCUUAGAAUAAGUAGGACUUUUAACAGUACUGUGUAUAUUUUACUAAUAAGUGUUAAUAAGACGUGUGUUUCCAGGAGUGUUGGCCCAAAAAUGGAUUGAACACAUCCAAGCCUCAAGCAGAAGCGAGCGUCAAUCUCCAACGACAACACUGCAGCAAUCCAGGGAAUGUUAAGCUUUCAGUUCUUUUUAAAAAAAAAAAAAAAACGUACAAAACGUCUAUAUAGUGACCAGAGGUUGCGCUAGACAUUUUCGUUGUCUGUCAUUUUGACUGACAGGGUCAUAAAAAUCCGGUCAGUCUAUUUUUACCCGUCACUUAAAUUUUUGAAAUGAUAAUGACAUAUUCAUUAGUAUUUAGUUUUCAUUCAUUUUUAAUAUUGUAACGCUUGCUUGGCGGCGAAAAAUUAGACACGGAAGUCGUGGUAUUUUUCUCCCUUUUUACUCUGCUUACCGCCAACAACUCCGCCCCCAAAGAAAAGGAGGCAACGAUAUAGACCCCCCAAUCACCAACGUCACACAAUGAUCUUAAUUGUGGUUGUCAGCCCAAAAUCUUCUAAAUAUAUAUUAAAUGCAUCUUACCAGAUAUAAAAAGACUACUACAUAGUCUGUGGUGAUCGUUUGGUGCCCAGAUUUCUUGUCGAAUUACAGCAGUCCAUCUCGCUCUCAUCUUCGCGUCUCUCAGAAUACGGUAGAACUUCAAGUCUCUCCGUCUAUCUUCUCUGUUACAGCAACCAACCGCCACACACGCCUUCACCAUUUUGAUUAUUAAUAUUAACGAGCAGAAAAACACGCCGUAAUAGGAGGCAUGUACGUAGCGGUAAUGUAUAAACAUGACGGGCUGACACACAAUAUGGCGGCUCCGGUCAGGGGGCCGGAGUUGUGACGUCAUGUGAUUGGGGUCUAUACACAGGCGGCAAUCUUGUCCAUCAAUUGGAUGACGCGCUGGCACACCGGGUGCACCAAUAAGAACCUCGCGUUGAUGUGUCAAUCACGGUGCCACCGCCAGACCCCGGUUACGCUACAAUAUUCUGACAGAAUAGCCAACGACGUCAUGCAUUAAGAGAGACAAUAGCUAAUUAAUAUGCUAACUCGCCACCCUGUGGUCUGGGGUGUGAAUUGCAACCUGUCAAAAUGACUGACGGACUUCAGUUUUUUCCGUCACCGUUUUAAAAAAAACCGGUCAACGACGGAAAAUUUCCGGUUAACGCGACCCCUGAUAGUGACCGAUCCAGUUUCAGUGCCAUUGACAGAAACGUAAGUGCGAUCCAAUUGAACCGGCAGGGAUCUGGCCAGUCCUCCCGGUGAAAUGGAUCGGACGUUUUUUGCCAUCAACUGCAGAUUUGAUUAACAAUUUAAAUAGCAUGUAUGUUUGUUUUAUUGAACAGCCAAACAUGAUGAAUCAAAAGUAACAAAUAUUUCUUUAUAUGCAGGACAAUCAUUUCGAAGGAAUGGAGUACAAUUCACCCAGAGUCCUGGAACAGAAUGAGCACGUCCCAGCAGGGGAAGCAAGCACCUGCACAGCGGCCGUAUUGGUCCAACUUUCCUCCGGAUGUAUGCGAAGUCACUGCAACAAUCCACGACUGAUGAUAUUUUGAGAUGAAGAUCAGUAGUGAUCUUGCAAAGCCUGCAACGUGGAUAUUCUCUGCAGUCGACCUGCUUGUCAUCAGAUUUUGGGAGACCACAUCGUGAUUGUAAAUGUUGUCAUUUGUCAAAGAUGAGUAUUCAAAAGCCUUCCUGUGAUUAAAAAAAAUAGUCUUUCGAUAUUUGGUAUUAAAAAAAACUGCUAAACAUGCUUUUAAAAAGCCUUUAACUAUGGAGGACCAGUAGUACCAAUGUUAAAUAAUUAAAUGGUAUGUUCGUGUUUGAAUAUUUCAAUAUUGUCGCAUUUUGAAAUGGUUGCCCACAUCUUUUAAUCUUCCCCCCAAAAUUUAGUAAAUAUAGUUUAAAAAUGAUUUUUUUUUUAAAAAAUUUUGCUGGGGGGGAUUUGAAGACUGGCAAUAGUUUUCAACUUUCCUCAUUAUUUCAACUUUUAUUCAAUGUCUCAAUGGCGCCGCAAUGACAUAAAAGUGAAAUGGAAAAUGACGAAAUGCACAACUAAAUGAAAACAUCGCAAUGGAAAGAUAUAUUUUUCUUUUUUUUUUUUUUUUCUUUUUUAGAACAAGAGCUCUAAAUGAAACAUCCAAUUGUUUAUUUAGUUGUGUAUCUAAUUCAUUUUUUAUCCUCAGGGUCCUCAAUGUUAAUUGACGUUGCAUUCAAAUUCAUUUAAGAUGGGAAGGUCGUAUUUGCUCAUCUUUGAGGGCCAUUGAUGGUACUGGAUGUCCAAUCGGUUAAGCUUCAUUCACUCCCAGCAUCAUGUUUGCUAAUGUUUAACUGCAUUAUUAAAUGUACAUUAAGCAUGUCAUCAAUCAUUGACUGCCAUUGACAAGGAUGCGAAAUUUCAUCAUGGCAGGCAUGAAAUAUUACUUUUCGUGCAAUUGAAAGCAAACGAUGUCCAAGCUGUUUUGACCAGGAGGUGGCUGGCCAGGCAUCCCAGUCAAGGAGUUGGUUGUCUUGCGCUGUCAAGGGCAGCUAAUUGAUUGAACACACACAUUAACCUUUUUAGUGCAGCAUCCUUAUAGUUAAUAUGAUAAGUAACUGUUUGGUCUGUGUAAAAACAUGACUUUUACAACAAAUCUGCUUUGUCAAUUUCUUGUCCAUGGCAGUCGGGAAGCCUUCUGAAUAUAUCUUGAGACCUAAAUAGAAACUAAAGCUGUUACCCAGUUUCU